GAUGAACGCUGGCGGCGUGCCUAAUACAUGCAAGUCGAGCGAACGGACGAGAAGCUUGCUUCUCUGAUGUUAGCGGCGGACGGGUGAGUAACACGUGGAUAACCUACCUAUAAGACUGGGAUAACUUCGGGAAACCGGAGCUAAUACCGGAUAAUAUUUUGAACCGCAUGGUUCAAAAGUGAAAGACGGUCUUGCUGUCACUUAUAGAUGGAUCCGCGCUGCAUUAGCUAGUUGGUAAGGUAACGGCUUACCAAGGCAACGAUGCAUAGCCGACCUGAGAGGGUGAUCGGCCACACUGGAACUGAGACACGGUCCAGACUCCUACGGGAGGCAGCAGUAGGGAAUCUUCCGCAAUGGGCGAACGCCUGACGGAGCAACGCCGCGUGAGUGAUGAAGGUCUUCGGAUCGUAAAACUCUGUUAUUAGGGAAGACCAUAUGUGUAAGUAACUGUGCACAUCUUGACGGUACCUUAUCAGAAAGCCACGGCUAACUACGUG
RNAcentral lists this ribosomal RNA (497 nucleotides) under uncultured bacterium. RNAcentral's name for it is "partial 16S ribosomal RNA". It matches the Rfam family "Bacterial small subunit ribosomal RNA", at positions 28 to 507 of the family's 1533-position model. The record is from RNAcentral.